UCAGACGAUGCGUCAUGCAUAUCAAUAAGCGGAGGAAAAGAAACUAACAAGGAUCCCCUUAGUAACGGCGAGUGAAGCGGGAAGAGCUCAAAUUUGAAAUCUUCAAGGUUUUACCUUGACGAAUUGUAGUUUAAAGAAGUGUUUUCUGUUGAAGUUUUGGUAAAAGUUCUUUGGAAUAGGACAUCAUAGAGGGUGAGAAUCCCGUAUUUGACCAUUAUUUUCAGCUGUGUGAUACACUUUCAAAGAGUCGGAUUGUUUGGGAAUGCAGUCCAAAAUGGGUGGUAAAUUUCAUCUAAAGCUAAAUAUUGGCGAGAGACCGAUAGCGAACAAGUACCGUGAGGGAAAGAUGAAAAGAACUUUGAAAAGAGAGUUAAACAGUACGUGAAAUUGUCAAAAGGGAAGCGUUUGACACCAGUGUUGUUUUCUCGAAAAUCAAUUAAAAAGAGUUGGAUUUUGUGUUGUAUUGACCUUAACAGCUUGCUUCACUCUUUUCCUGCUUUUUUUAAUGCACUUUUCGUUUAACAAGUCAACAUCAGUUUCUUUUGUUGUAAAAGGGUCAUUGGAAGGUGGCCUUCUCUUCGGAGAAAGUGUUUAUAGCCUUUGAUCUCUGCAAUCGGAGAGACUGAGGUCUGCAGCGUAGAUCCUUCGGGGUUAGAUACAUUUGUGCUAAGCUACAGCUUUUCAUAGACAACUUGUUGACUAUGUUUAGUCUUGUAACUUACCCGCUUAUGCUAUUUUACCUACGCUUAGGAUGUUGAUAUGCAUGACUGAUAU
Molecule: ribosomal RNA, 774 nt
Filed under: uncultured Neocallimastigales
Lineage: Eukaryota; Fungi; Neocallimastigomycota; Neocallimastigomycetes; Neocallimastigales
Description: partial large subunit ribosomal RNA
Rfam family: Eukaryotic large subunit ribosomal RNA
Source: RNAcentral